CCUACGGGGGGCAGCAGUGAGGAAUAUUGGUCAAUGGUCGGGAGACUGAACCAGCCAAGCCGCGUGAGGGAUGAAGGUACAGAGUAUCGUAAACCUCUUUUGUCAGGGAACAAAGGCGGGGACGUGUCCCCGGAUGAGUGUACCUGAAGAAAAAGCAUCGGCUAACUCCGUGCCAGCAGCCGCGGUAAUUCGGAGGAUGCGAGCGUUAUCCGGAUUUAUUGGGUUUAAAGGGUGCGCAGGCGGAUUGUUAAGUCAGCGGUAAAAGCCCGGGGCUCAACCCCGGCCCGCCGUUGAAACUGGCAUGCUCGAGUUGGAGAGACGUAUGCGGAAUGCGCGGUGUAGCGGUGAAAUGCAUAGAUAUCGCGCAGAACUCCGAUUGCGAAGGCAGCAUGCGGGCUCCACACUGACGCUGAGGCACGAAGGCGUGGGUAUCGAACAGGAUCAGAUACCCGAGUAGUC
This 459-nucleotide ribosomal RNA is filed under the name uncultured bacterium. Its description in RNAcentral is "partial 16S ribosomal RNA". It matches the Rfam family "Bacterial small subunit ribosomal RNA", at positions 338 to 795 of the family's 1533-position model. The record is from RNAcentral.